This 466-nucleotide ribosomal RNA is filed under the name uncultured bacterium. RNAcentral's name for it is "partial 16S ribosomal RNA". It matches the Rfam family "Bacterial small subunit ribosomal RNA", at positions 29 to 506 of the family's 1533-position model. The record is from RNAcentral.
ACGAACGCUGGCGGCGUGCUUAACACAUGCAAGUCGAACGGAAAGGCCCUGCUUUUGUGGGGUGCUCGAGUGGCGAACGGGUGAGUAACACGUGAGUAACCUGCCCUUGACUUUGGGAUAACUUCAGGAAACUGGGGCUAAUACCGGAUAGGAGCUCCUGCUGCAUGGUGGGGGUUGGAAAGUUUCGGCGGUUGGGGAUGGACUCGCGGCUUAUCAGCUUGUUGGUGGGGUAGUGGCUUACCAAGGCUUUGACGGGUAGCCGGCCUGAGAGGGUGACCGGCCACAUUGGGACUGAGGUACGGCCCAGACUCCUACGGGAGGCAACAGUGGGGAAUAUUGCACAAUGGGCGGAAGCCUGAUGCAGCAACGCCGCGUGCGGGAUGACGGCCUUCGGGUUGUAAACCGCUUUCGCCUGUGACGAGGCGUGAGUGACGGUAAUGGGGAAAGAAGCACCGGCUAACUACGU